This 407-nucleotide RNase P RNA is filed under the name Candidatus Chlorobium antarcticum. RNAcentral describes it as "RNase P RNA component class A". It matches the Rfam family "Bacterial RNase P class A". From Rfam's summary of the family: Ribonuclease P (RNase P) is a ubiquitous endoribonuclease, found in archaea, bacteria and eukarya as well as chloroplasts and mitochondria. Its best characterised activity is the generation of mature 5'-ends of tRNAs by cleaving the 5'-leader elements of precursor-tRNAs. Lineage: Bacteria; Pseudomonadati; Chlorobiota; Chlorobiia; Chlorobiales; Chlorobiaceae. The record is from RNAcentral.
AAACCGCAAGUGUGCAGUCGCUGCAGGGCCAAUGGCUCUGCAGAGGAAAGUCCGAACUUCACAGGGCAGGGUGCCGGUCGAGAGAGCCGAAAGGUCCUCAAGCCUGGGCAGGUCGGCGCAAGCCGGUCCUGACAGAGAGCGCAGCAGAAAGCAGACCGCUCCGGGAAACCGGAGUAAGGGUGAAACGGCGGUGUAAGAGACCACCAGGCAUUCCGGUAACGGAAUGCGCUAUGCAAACCUCCCCGAAGCAAGGCCGAAUAGGAAAGCUUUUCCCUUAAAGGGAAAAAGGGCGGCCCGCCCAAUUCCGCAAGGAGAGUUUUCGGGUAGGCCGCAUCAGAUAAAUGACUGCAGUUUCAUCCGGUACGCCGGAUGAAUCACAGAAUUCGGCUUACAUCUUCGGUUUCGGC